UGGAAAGAUGAAUCAAAGAAGGUAAUAAUCCUGUAGUCGAAAAUGUUGUCUCUCUUGAGUGGAUCCUGAGUACGACGGAGCACGUGAAAUUCCGUCGGAAUCUGGGAGGACCAUCUCCUAAGGCUAAAUACUCUCUAGUGACCGAUAGUGAACCAGUACCGUGAGGGAAAGGUGAAAAGCACCCCGGAAGGGGAGUGAAAUAGAACCUGAAACCGUGUGCUUACAAGUAGUCAGAGCCCGUUAAUGGGUGAUGGCGUGCCUUUUGUAGAAUGAACCGGCGAGUUACGAUUUGAUGCAAGGUUAAGCAGUAAAUGUGGAGCCGUAGCGAAAGCGAGUCUGAAUAGGGCGUUUAGUAUUUGGUCGUAGACCCGAAACCAGGUGAUCUACCCUUGGUCAGGUUGAAGUUCAGGUAACACUGAAUGGAGGACCGAACCGACUUACGUUGAAAAGUGAGCGGAUGAACUGAGGGUAGCGGAGAAAUUCCAAUCGAACCUGGAGAUAGCUGGUUCUCUCCGAAAUAGCUUUAGGGCUAGCCUCAAGUGAUGAUUAUUGGAGGUAGAGCACUGUUUGGACGAGGGGCCCCUCUCGGGUUACCGAAUUCAGACAAACUCCGAAUGCCAAUUAAUUUAACUUGGGAGUCAGAACAUGGGUGAUAAGGUCCGUGUUCGAAAGGGAAACAGCCCAGACCACCAGCUAAGGUCCCAAAAUAUAUGUUAAGUGGAAAAGGAUGUGGCGUUGCCCAGACAACUAGGAUGUUGGCUUAGAAGCAGCCAUCAUUUAAAGAGUGCGUAAUAGCUCACUAGUCGAGUGACACUGCGCCGAAAAUGUACCGGGGCUAAACAUAUUACCGAAGCUGUGGAUUGUCCUUUGGACAAUGGUAGGAGAGCGUUCUAAGGGCGUUGAAGCAUGAUCGUAAGGACAUGUGGAGCGCUUAGAAGUGAGAAUGCCGGUGUGAGUAGCGAAAGACGGGUGAGAAUCCCGUCCACCGAUUGACUAAGGUUUCCAGAGGAAGGCUCGUCCGCUCUGGGUUAGUCGGGUCCUAAGCUGAGGCCGACAGGCGUAGGCGAUGGAUAACAGGUUGAUAUUCCUGUACCACCUAUAAUCGUUUUAAUCGAUGGGGGGACGCAGUAGGAUAGGCGAAGCGUGCGAUUGGAUUGCACGUCUAAGCAGUAAGGCUGAGUAUUAGGCAAAUCCGGUACUCAUUAAGGCUGAGCUGUGAUGGGGAGAAGACAUUGUGUCUUCGAGUCGUUGAUUUCACACUGCCGAGAAAAGCCUCUAGAUAGAAAAUAGGUGCCCGUACCGCAAACCGACACAGGUAGUCAAGAUGAGAAUUCUAAGGUGAGCGAGCGAACUCUCGUUAAGGAACUCGGCAAAAUGACCCCGUAACUUCGGGAGAAGGGGUGCUCUUUAGGGUUAACGCCCAGAAGAGCCGCAGUGAAUAGGCCCAAGCGACUGUUUAUCAAAAACACAGGUCUCUGCUAAACCGUAAGGUGAUGUAUAGGGGCUGACGCCUGCCCGGUGCUGGAAGGUUAAGAGGAGUGGUUAGCUUCUGCGAAGCUACGAAUCGAAGCCCCAGUAAACGGCGGCCGUAACUAUAACGGUCCUAAGGUAGCGAAAUUCCUUGUCGGGUAAGUUCCGACCCGCACGAAAGGCGUAACGAUUUGGGCACUGUCUCAACGAGAGACUCGGUGAAAUCAUAGUACCUGUGAAGAUGCAGGUUACCCGCGACAGGACGGAAAGACCCCGUGGAGCUUUACUGUAGCCUGAUAUUGAAAUUCGGCACAGCUUGUACAGGAUAGGUAGGAGCCUUUGAAACGUGAGCGCUAGCUUACGUGGAGGCGCUGGUGGGAUACUACCCUAGCUGUGUUGGCUUUCUAACCCGCACCACUUAUCGUGGUGGGAGACAGUGUCAGGCGGGCAGUUUGACUGGGGCGGUCGCCUCCUAAAAGGUAACGGAGGCGCUCAAAGGUUCCCUCAGAAUGGUUGGAAAUCAUUCAUAGAGUGUAAAGGCAUAAGGGAGCUUGACUGCGAGACCUACAAGUCGAGCAGGGUCGAAAGACGGACUUAGUGAUCCGGUGGUUCCGCAUGGAAGGGCCAUCGCUCAACGGAUAAAAGCUACCCCGGGGAUAACAGGCUUAUCUCCCCCAAGAGUUCACAUCGACGGGGAGGUUUGGCACCUCGAUGUCGGCUCAUCGCAUCCUGGGGCUGUAGUCGGUCCCAAGGGUUGGGCUGUUCGCCCAUUAAAGCGGUACGCGAGCUGGGUUCAGAACGUCGUGAGACAGUUCGGUCCCUAUCCGUCGUGGGCGUAGGAAAUUUGAGAGGAGCUGUCCUUAGUACGAGAGGACCGGGAUGGACAUACCUCUGGUGUACCAGUUGUCGUGCCAACGGCAUAGCUGGGUAGCUAUGU
RNAcentral lists this ribosomal RNA (2407 nucleotides) under Staphylococcus aureus. RNAcentral's name for it is "partial 23S ribosomal RNA". It matches the Rfam family "Bacterial large subunit ribosomal RNA", at positions 343 to 2754 of the family's 2925-position model. Lineage: Bacteria; Bacillati; Bacillota; Bacilli; Caryophanales; Staphylococcaceae. The record is from RNAcentral.